This 1056-nucleotide ribosomal RNA is filed under the name Xanthomonas campestris pv. campestris. Its description in RNAcentral is "bacterial SSU rRNA". It matches the Rfam family "Bacterial small subunit ribosomal RNA", at positions 56 to 1098 of the family's 1533-position model. The record is from RNAcentral. Lineage: Bacteria; Pseudomonadati; Pseudomonadota; Gammaproteobacteria; Lysobacterales; Lysobacteraceae.
UGCAAGUCGAACGGCAGCACAGUAAGAGCUUGCUCUUAUGGGUGGCGAGUGGCGGACGGGUGAGGAAUACAUCGGAAUCUACUCUUUCGUGGGGGAUAACGUAGGGAAACUUACGCUAAUACCGCAUACGACCUACGGGUGAAAGCGGAGGACCUUCGGGCUUCGCGCGAUUGAAUGAGCCGAUGUCGGAUUAGCUAGUUGGCGGGGUAAAGGCCCACCAAGGCGACGAUCCGUAGCUGGUCUGAGAGGAUGAUCAGCCACACUGGAACUGAGACACGGUCCAGACUCCUACGGGAGGCAGCAGUGGGGAAUAUUGGACAAUGGGCGCAAGCCUGAUCCAGCCAUGCCGCGUGGGUGAAGAAGGCCUUCGGGUUGUAAAGCCCUUUUGUUGGGAAAGAAAAGCAGUCGGUUAAUACCCGAUUGUUCUGACGGUACCCAAAGAAUAAGCACCGGCUAACUUCGUGCCAGCAGCCGCGGUAAUACGAAGGGUGCAAGCGUUACUCGGAAUUACUGGGCGUAAAGCGUGCGUAGGUGGUGGUUUAAGUCUGUUGUGAAAGCCCUGGGCUCAACCUGGGAAUUGCAGUGGAUACUGGGUCACUAGAGUGUGGUAGAGGGUAGCGGAAUUCCCGGUGUAGCAGUGAAAUGCGUAGAGAUCGGGAGGAACAUCCGUGGCGAAGGCGGCUACCUGGACCAACACUGACACUGAGGCACGAAAGCGUGGGGAGCAGACAGGAUUAGAUACCCUGGUAGUCCACGCCCUAAACGAUGCGAACUGGAUGUUGGGUGCAAUUUGGCACGCAGUAUCGAAGCUAACGCGUUAAGUUCGCCGCCUGGGGAGUACGGUCGCAAGACUGAAACUCAAAGGAAUUGACGGGCGCCCGCACAAGCGGUGGAGUAUGUGGUUUAAUUCGAUGCAACGCGAAGAACCUUACCUGGUCUUGACAUCCACGGAACUUUCCAGAGAUGGAUUGUUGCCUUCCGGAACCGUGAGACAGGUGCUGCAUGGCUGUCGUCAGCUCCUGUCGUGAGAUGUUGGGUUAAGUCCCGCAACGAGCG